This 498-nucleotide ribosomal RNA is filed under the name uncultured bacterium. Its description in RNAcentral is "bacterial SSU rRNA". It matches the Rfam family "Bacterial small subunit ribosomal RNA", at positions 18 to 518 of the family's 1533-position model. The record is from RNAcentral.
UCUGGCUCAGGAUGAACGCUGGCGGCGUGCCUAACACAUGCAAGUCGAACGAAGCACUUGGCUGAUCCCUCGGGUGAUGCCUUGUGACUGAGUGGCGGACGGGUGAGUAACGCGUGGGUAACCUGCCCUGUACAGGGGGAUAACAGUCAGAAAUGACUGCUAAUACCGCAUAAGCGCACGAGAGGACAUCCUCUUGUGUGAAAAAACUCCGGUGGUACAGGAUGGGCCCGCGUCUGAUUAGCUAGUUGGCGGGGUAAAGGCCCACCAAGGCGACGAUCAGUAGCCGGUCUGAGAGGAUGAACGGCCACAUUGGAACUGAGACACGGUCCAAACUCCUACGGGAGGCAGCAGUGGGGAAUAUUGCACAAUGGGGGGAACCCUGAUGCAGCCAACGCCGCGUGAGUGAAGAAGUAUUUCGGUAUGUAAAGCUCUAUCAGCAGGGAAGAUAAUGACGGUACCUGACUAAGAAGCUCCGGCUAAAUACGUGCCAGCCGCUGC